AGAGUAAUCAUCGGUACCUUAGAUGCCCUGGUAAGACAUAUGCAUGACAAAGGAUGAAGAGUGAAUCCCGUAAAAAUUCAGGAGGCCAAUUUGUCUACGGUAUGUUCAAAUAUCACCUCCCAAGUUAAAGACAAUUUGCUACACUGGGAACACCUACCAUUAAAAAAAUUAUUGUGCUUAAUUGGCCCGUUAAAUUUUAAAGAGAACACUUCCAUAUUUGAAUGUAUUGUUCUAACUCAUUUAUGAAGCAACCCUUUGGACUACAGGGCAAAAUACCUUGCCCGUUAGCUUUUAUGAUUCAGUGAAUUGAAAAGACCCUCAGUGUGUCUAUAAGUUUAUUGGGAGGCUGUGGCAAAUUCAUGUGGCAAAUUCCAAUAGGAAAAUCACAGAGCAUGCCCCUGAGUUUUGCAACAAAGCUCCACUCUCUUCAGCAAGUAGCUUUUCUUCUAAAAACCAGCUCUUGGCUUGCUAUUGGAUCCUGGUUGAAAAUGAACUAAUCCAGGCUGCUAUAAAUGAAAUGGGUGUUUUGUGUUGCACCAGACUGAAGGCAUCAUCAGGAGUGAGCAGAAGCAGACAUAACAGCAGUGGAGACACAUACUUACAGGAAGGUAGUUGUACAAAGGGAGGUAUCAUUUUCAGGGCCUUUAGCUUGGGGACAAGUAUUGUUGGCAUAGCACAUGAGGCAGCAGAGACACCAGCAGAGAAAACUUAAUUUUUCUGACCUGGGAAAUUAGAAAACUGAUUCGGGAAAACUGUUGUUUAGAGUGGGAAAAACUUUGGAACAGAAAAAUCCAAGAAGAGAUUCCAAAAUAUGUCUACCCACAUCUUUGAGUGACUUAGGAACCUGCCUUCAUAGAAUAGACUCAAAGCAGCUUAGCUAAUGACAAACUACCUAAACUGAGAACAGAGCCACCAUCUAAUAAAGUUUUCAGUUCAAGUUCAAACAAGACAAUUGCCUGCAAAAUUAAAACAAGCAUUGGAGAAAAUGUUAUAAUGUCCAAAAUUACCAAAGUAAAAAGAACCAGGAAAAGGAAACACAUUCUCAAGAGAAAACAAAAUCACCUGUGAAUCACCCCAAGAUGACUCAGAUAUUUAAACUAAUAAUUGAUGAUUUUCAAGUGGCUAUGAUAAUUAUCUUUAGCAGGUACAAUAAAUAUGUUCUCAAUAAGUGAAAUUUUACAAAAUCUCACCUUAGAAAUAGAAAUAAUAACAAUGAGCCAAAUGGAAAUUCUAAAACUGAAAAAAUAAAUUAUCUGCAAUAAGUAAUUCUUCUCCUAAAAAUCAAUUCUUGGCUUGCUAUUGGGUCCCAGUUAGGUCCUAGAUGAAUAAAUGUAAUAGCUGAAUGGAGAUGUCAGAGGAAAGAGUAAGUGAACUUGAAGACAGAGCAAUGAAUAUGACCCAGCACAAUGUGAAGAAUGGUGCCAUAGUUUGGAUAUCUGUCCCCUCGGAAACUUAUGUUGAAACUUAAUCUCCAAUAUGGCAUAUCUAAAGGUUGAGUUUUUAAGAGGUGACUGCAUCAUGUUGGCUCUGCCCUCAUGAAUGGAUUAAUCCACUCAGGGAUUAACGAGUUAUCACAGGAGUGACAUUACUGGCUUCAUAAGAAAAAAGAGACCUGACCAAGCUCACCCUCUCAACGUGUGAUGCCCUGUACCACUGUGGGACUCUACAGAGCCUCACCAGCAAAAAGGCCCUCACCAGAUGCAGCCCCUCAACCUUGGAUUUCUCAGUCUCCAUAACUGAAAAAAAUAAAUUCCUUUUCUUUUAAAUUACACUGUUUUAGGUAUUCUGUUAUAAGCAACAGAAACAGACUAAGACAAACAGAAAUAAAAGCUAAAAUAUGAAAAGCACGAAUAGAGUACCAGGGACUGACUUGUUAAAUAAUACAAAACAAUGCAACAUAAAUCUAAUUAGAGUACCAGAAGAACAGAAAGGCAAUGGGGGAAAAGUAAUAUAUCUGAGGAAAUACCGACUGAAAAUGUCCCCAUCUGAUGAAAGACAGAAAUUUAAAGACACAAGAUGAUCAACAAACACCUAACAGAAUAAACAUGAAGUCCAUCAUAAUCAAAAAUUUCCACAUCAAAGGGAUGAGCAAAUCUUGAAAGCAGAAAGAGAAAAAUAACACAUUAAAUAAAGAAAAACAAUUCAGUUAGUGGGGUUGUCUCAUCAAAAGUCAAAGUGGCCAGAAGAGAGGGAAACAACAUCUUUCAAGUGGUCAAAGAAGAGGCUGAACAACUCAGAAUUCUGUAACUGGUGAACCUAUACUUAAAGAAUUAAUGGAAAAUAGAAAUAUUUUCAGAUAAAAGAUAAACUAGGGAAAUCAUUAUAAAAGUUUCUAAAGAAAGUCUUCAGACUGAAGAAAAUGAUAGCAGAUGGAAACUUGGAUUCUCAGAAAGGAAUGAAGAUCACUGGAAACUGCCUGCCGUAAGUUGUUUGAAAUCCAGUCAUAUCCAGUUAUUAUAUCUUCAGCUUCUUUAAAACUUCCCCUUCCCAUGCAAUGCAGACAGCUGGUUCCUCAUCUCACCAACCCCAGCAUCUCUCACAGCAGCUGACCACGAUGAAACCUGACCAAGCCCAGAGUCAGGUGCUGUGCCAUGCUGCCUUCUCUGUGUCUGGCCUGACCCACACACUGGCCUAACGCUGGGAGCCCUCCAGGCCAACUAGAGGAAAUUACAGCAGCAACUCUGGUUCUUAUGAAGAUUGCCUUCUCCACAUUAAUCCAAAAAAAAGAACACACACCCCCCAAUCCUAGAGUCAAGCCUGAAGGAAUGCAGCCUCACUGGAAUCACAGAAGUGAGCUCUGAUGUGCCAUGAUUCUCCUAUAGCAAUUUCCCCAGACCAACUGCAGAGAGAAAGGAAACUGGGUGCUCCGGCCACACUGCCAACAGGAUGCAGGCAACCAAUGACAUCUUCCUCAUUUGGCGUCAGCAAUUUAAUAAAAAUUAUCAAAAGUUUAUGCCAACAAA
Molecule: long non-coding RNA, 2963 nt
Organism: Pongo pygmaeus (Bornean orangutan)
Lineage: Eukaryota; Metazoa; Chordata; Mammalia; Primates; Hominidae
Exons: 4
Source: RefSeq, a predicted model, not a curated record